RNAcentral lists this Y RNA (112 nucleotides) under Propithecus coquereli (Coquerel's sifaka). RNAcentral's name for it is "Y RNA (ENSPCOG00000012186.1)". It matches the Rfam family "Y RNA". Rfam says of the family: Y RNAs are components of the Ro ribonucleoprotein particle (Ro RNP), in association with Ro60 and La proteins. The Y RNAs and Ro60 and La proteins are well conserved, but the function of the Ro RNP is not known. In humans the RNA component can be one of four small RNAs -- hY1, hY3, hY4 and hY5. The record is from Rfam by way of RNAcentral. Lineage: Eukaryota; Metazoa; Chordata; Mammalia; Primates; Indriidae.
GGCUUGUCUGAAGGUAGCAAGUUAUCUCAGUUGAUUGUUCACAGUCAGUUACAGAUCGAACUCCUCAUUCUGCUCUUUCCUCCUUCUCACUACUGAACUUGACUACUCUGGG